AUUGAACGCUGGCGGCAUGCCUUACACAUGCAAGUCGAACGGCAGCACGGGAGCUUGCUCCUGGUGGCGAGUGGCGAACGGGUGAGUAAAGCAUCGGAACGUGCCCUGAAGUGGGGGAUAACGUAGCGAAAGUUACGCUAAUACCGCAUAUUCUGUGAGCAGGAAAGCAGGGGAUCUUCGGACCUUGUGCUUUAGGAGCGGCCGAUGUCGGAUUAGCUAGUUGGUGAGGUAAAGGCUCACCAAGGCGACGAUCCGUAGCGGGUCUGAGAGGAUGAUCCGCCACACUGGGACUGAGACACGGCCCAGACUCCUACGGGAGGCAGCAGUGGGGAAUUUUGGGCAAUGGGCGCAAGCCUGAUCCAGCCAUGCCGCGUGAGUGAAGAAGGCCUUCGGGUUGUAAAGCUCUUUCGGCGGGGUAAGGAAAGUAGGCGACUCUCUAAUACA
This 444-nucleotide ribosomal RNA is filed under the name uncultured bacterium. Its description in RNAcentral is "bacterial SSU rRNA". It matches the Rfam family "Bacterial small subunit ribosomal RNA", at positions 30 to 468 of the family's 1533-position model. The record is from RNAcentral.